This 67-nucleotide transfer RNA is filed under the name Marmota monax (woodchuck). RNAcentral describes it as "tRNA.Ala". It matches the Rfam family "tRNA". From Rfam's summary of the family: Transfer RNA (tRNA) molecules are approximately 80 nucleotides in length. Lineage: Eukaryota; Metazoa; Chordata; Mammalia; Rodentia; Sciuridae. The record is from RNAcentral.
GGUUGUGGCUCAGUGGUAGAGCACUUGCCUAGCAUGCAUGAGGCCCUGGGUUUGAUUCUCAGCACCA